Molecule: transfer RNA, 63 nt
Filed under: Nephtys longosetosa
Lineage: Eukaryota; Metazoa; Annelida; Polychaeta; Phyllodocida; Nephtyidae
Also listed under: 2 other names
Source: RNAcentral
GACACUCUAAUUUAAUUAGAAUAUUUGAUUUGCAUUCAAACAGUGAGAUUUUCUCGAGCGCCA